RNAcentral lists this long non-coding RNA (1044 nucleotides) under Olea europaea subsp. europaea. The record is from RNAcentral. Lineage: Eukaryota; Viridiplantae; Streptophyta; Magnoliopsida; Lamiales; Oleaceae.
GACUGAUGCAGGGCUUGAUUCAUGUGAUUGAUUAGUUGUUACACCCUUGAAUCUCGCCUAAUUAUUUUUGUUGUGAUCUGUUGCUUGAUUUGUGGCAUGAUCUCUGAUAUGCCCCUGUAACAUAGGGUUGUCAUCCACAAGUCCAAUCUUGGUUCUUAGUUGGUCCAUUUGUUGCCUUGACAAUGGCUUCGUGAGAAGAUCUACAAGCUGAUCUUGCGUAUUCACACAAUGAAUUUUCAGCAUUCUUUUUUGAACUAUAUCUCUAACAAAAUACAGGUUUAUUUGAAUAUGCAUCAUCCAAGAAUGUUGAAUAGGGUUAAGGCUAAGUUGUGUUACGCCAAUUUAUCACAAAGCAAUUUUGGUAAGAAGAAAUGUUUAAGCCGAGUUCCUGAAAUAGCGACAAUAACCAAAUGGUUUUUGAUGUUGAUGUUGCAGUUGCAAGAGCUCUAUACUCUGCUUCAGUAGAUGAUCUUGCAAUGGCCCGUAGUUUUUUCGAGCUCUAAGAGAUCGGAUUUUGAUCGAGAAAGCAUAUGUAGACAAAUAUGGAACUUCCAAACCGCCAACAAAAUCCAACAAAAGGAAGCCUUCGAAGAACCUUAAUAAGUUCAAGAAGAAGACUAAAAGAGGAUGCUUUGUUUGUGGGAAAUUUGGACACUACACAAAAGAUUGUAGACACCGAAAACACAACAACUCCGAGGGUAAAGUGAAUUUCAUCCAACAAGACAAAAUUGUGGCCACCGUGAGCGAAAUAAAUGCAAUGAAGGGAAAGAUUCUCGGCUGGUGGUAUGAUAUUUGUGCCACAGUGCAUGAAUCAUAUGACAAAUCUUUGUUCAAAACAUAAAUGAAGUGGAUGGAGACCAAAAGAUCUAAAUAGGUAACGAGGUGCGGUCCAAAGUAAUUGAAAAAGGAAUUGUAGAAAUCAUCUUCACUUCUGGGAAAAAUGUUACUCUCACAAAUGUACUACAUGUUCCGGAUAUGAAUAUGAACUUAGUGAGUGGAAAUCUUUUGGGAAAAUCAGGCAUUAAAAGUAUCUUUGAGUCCAAU